RNAcentral lists this ribosomal RNA (389 nucleotides) under uncultured bacterium. RNAcentral describes it as "partial 16S ribosomal RNA". It matches the Rfam family "Bacterial small subunit ribosomal RNA", at positions 355 to 755 of the family's 1533-position model. The record is from RNAcentral.
UGGGGAAUAUUGCACAAUGGGCGAAAGCCUGAUGCAGCAACGCCGCGUGAGGGACGACGGCCUUCGGGUUGUAAACCUCUUUUAGCAAGGAAGAAGCGAAAGUGACGGUACUUGCAGAAAAACGCGCCGGCUAACUACGUGCCAGCAGCCGCGGUAAUACGUAGGGCGCAAGCGUUAUCCGGAAUUAUUGGGCGUAAAGAGCUCGUAGGCGGUUUGUCGCGUCUGCUGUGAAAACCCGAGGCUCAACCUCGGGCCUGCAGUGGGUACGGGCAGACUAGAGUGCGGUAGGGGAGAUUGGAACUCCCGGUGUAGCGGUGGAAUGCGCAGAUAUCAGGAAGAACACCGAUGGCGAAGGCAGAUCUCUGGGCCGUAACUGACGCUGAGGAGCG